UACGGGGGGGGCAAGCGUUGUUCGGAAUUACUGGGCGUAAAGGGCUCGUAGGUGGCCAACUAAGUCAGACGUGAAAUCCCCAGGCUCAACUUGGGAACUGCGUCUGAUACUGGAUGGCUUGAAUUCGGGAGAGGGAUGCAGAAUUCCAGGUGUAGCGGUGAAAUGCGUAGAUAUCUGGAGGAAUACCGGUGGCGAAGGCGGCAUCCUGGACCGAGAUUGACACUGAUGAGCGAAAGCUAGGGGAGCAAGCGGG
RNAcentral lists this ribosomal RNA (253 nucleotides) under uncultured bacterium. Its description in RNAcentral is "partial 16S ribosomal RNA". It matches the Rfam family "Bacterial small subunit ribosomal RNA", at positions 524 to 776 of the family's 1533-position model. The record is from RNAcentral.